RNAcentral lists this non-coding RNA (32 nucleotides) under Homo sapiens (human). The record is from RNAcentral. Lineage: Eukaryota; Metazoa; Chordata; Mammalia; Primates; Hominidae.
UGGGCUCAGAGGCCUGACAUUUAACUUGCCUA